GAUGAACGCUGGCGGCGUGCCUAAUACAUGCAAGUCGAGCGAACGGACGAGAAGCUUGCUUCUCUGAUGUUAGCGGCGGACGGGUGAGUAACACGUGGAUAACCUACCUAUAAGACUGGGAUAACUUCGGGAAACCGGAGCUAAUACCGGAUGAUAUUUUGAACCGCAUGGUUCAAAAGUGAAAGACGGUCUUGCUGUCACUUAUAGAUGGAUCCGCGCUGCAUUAGCUAGUUGGUAAGGUAACGGCUUACCAAGGCAACGAUGCAUAGCCGACCUGAGAGGGUGAUCGGCCACACUGGAACUGAGACACGGUCCAGACUCCUACGGGAGGCAGCAGUAGGGAAUCUUCCGCAAUGGGCGAAGGCCUGACGGAGCAACGCCGCGUGAGUGAUGAAGGUCUUCGGAUCGUAAAACUUUGUUAUUAGGGAAGAACAUAUGUGUAAGUAACUGUGCACAUCUUGACGGUACCUAAUCAGAAAGCCACGGCUAACUACGUG
RNAcentral lists this ribosomal RNA (497 nucleotides) under uncultured bacterium. Its description in RNAcentral is "partial 16S ribosomal RNA". It matches the Rfam family "Bacterial small subunit ribosomal RNA", at positions 28 to 507 of the family's 1533-position model. The record is from RNAcentral.